This 577-nucleotide long non-coding RNA is filed under the name Ananas comosus (pineapple). RNAcentral describes it as "long non-coding RNA (ACOM_LNC007324)". The record is from RNAcentral. Lineage: Eukaryota; Viridiplantae; Streptophyta; Magnoliopsida; Poales; Bromeliaceae.
AUAACUGUCAGGUGAGGGACCCAAUGACGGCUUUGCUUACGCGUUUGAACGGUGGGUCUGACUUAACUAAGGAAUGGGGCCAAUAACUGUCAGGUGAGGCUUACAGGACUUAGAGACCGAUUACUGCAAUUUGCUUGAGAAGCAUUGGACAAGAGUUGUCCACUCAUCGGUUUGCAUAUCACCAAUAACUGUUAGGUGAGGUGAUACGUUAAACUGGUGGGACCGCAGUACUCACUUGAAACCUUUUGUCGUGUUGGGUUUCCGUUUCUCUACCCGAGAAGUGUAAGAGGCUCGAGAAAAUAGUGGGAGGCUAAAUUUGUUUUUAAAAUCCCUAAACAAAUUUUCAAAACAAAUACAAAUAUUUAACUUGAAUCUUUAUUCUCUACAAAAUAAAUGUCUGCUUCCAAUUAUCUCUCUCGUAUUCUCGACACGAAACCCUUAACUGAAACUAAUUAUAAAGACUGGCCAAAGAACUUAAAAAUAGUUUUAAAUUCCAAUAAGCUCCGCAUUGUUCUCGACCAGGUAAACCUUAUGUUACCAAACCGUCCAAUAACUAACCGAAGGGCAGUCUGUUCAU